RNAcentral lists this ribosomal RNA (301 nucleotides) under uncultured bacterium. RNAcentral describes it as "partial 16S ribosomal RNA". It matches the Rfam family "Bacterial small subunit ribosomal RNA", at positions 509 to 809 of the family's 1533-position model. The record is from RNAcentral.
CAGCCGCCGCGGGAAUACGUAGGUGGCAAGCGUUGUCCGGAAUUAUUGGGCGUAAAGGGCUCGCAGGCGGUUUCUUAAGUCUGAUGUGAAAGCCCCCGGCUCAACCGGGGAGGGUCAUUGGAAACUGGGAAACUUGAGUGCAGAAGAGGAGAGUGGAAUUCCACGUGUAGCGGUGAAAUGCGUAGAGAUGUGGAGGAACACCAGUGGCGAAGGCGACUCUCUGGUCUGUAACUGACGCUGAGGAGCGAAAGCGUGGGGAGCGAACAGGAUUAGAGACCCCAGUAGUCCCUGUCUCUUAUAA